This 845-nucleotide ribosomal RNA is filed under the name Chaetomium ovatoascomatis. RNAcentral's name for it is "partial large subunit ribosomal RNA". It matches the Rfam family "Eukaryotic large subunit ribosomal RNA", at positions 68 to 946 of the family's 3401-position model. Lineage: Eukaryota; Fungi; Ascomycota; Sordariomycetes; Sordariales; Chaetomiaceae. The record is from RNAcentral.
ACAGGGAUUGCCCUAGUAACGGCGAGUGAAGCGGCAACAGCUCAAAUUUGAAAUCUGGCUUCGGCCCGAGUUGUAAUUUGCAGAGGAAGCUUUAGGCGCGGCACUUUCUGAGUCCCCUGGAACGGGGCGCCAUAGAGGGUGAGAGCCCCGUAUAGUUAGAUGCCUAGCCUGUGUAAAGCUCCUUCGACGAGUCGAGUAGUUUGGGAAUGCUGCUCAAAAUGGGAGGUAAAUUUCUUCUAAAGCUAAAUACCGGCCAGAGACCGAUAGCGCACAAGUAGAGUGAUCGAAAGAUGAAAAGCACUUUGAAAAGAGGGUUAAAUAGCACGUGAAAUUGUUGAAAGGGAAGCGCUUGUGACCAGACUUGCGCCGGGCAGAUCAUCCGGUGUUCUCACCGGUGCACUCUGCCCGGCUCAGGCCAGCAUCGGUUCUCGCGGGGGGAUAAAGGCCCUGGGAACGUAGCUCCUCCGGGAGUGUUAUAGCCCGGGGCGUAAUGCCCUCGCGGGGACCGAGGUUCGCGCAUCUGCAAGGAUGCUGGCGUAAUGGUCAUCAGCGACCCGUCUUGAAACACGGACCAAGGAGUCAAGGUUUUGCGCGAGUGUUUGGGUGUAAAACCCGCACGCGUAAUGAAAGUGAACGUAGGUGAGAGCUUCGGCGCAUCAUCGACCGAUCCUGAUGUUUUCGGAUGGAUUUGAGUAGGAGCGUUAAGCCUUGGACCCGAAAGAUGGUGAACUAUGCUUGGAUAGGGUGAAGCCAGAGGAAACUCUGGUGGAGGCUCGCAGCGGUUCUGACGUGCAAAUCGAUCGUCAAAUCUGAGCAUGGGGGCGAAAGACUAAUCGAACCAUCUA